UCCGGUUUGUCACCGGCAGUCUCCUUAGAGUUCCCACCAUUACGUGCUGGCAACUAAAUGCUGGGGUUGCGCUCGUUGCGGGACUUAACCCAACAUCUCACGACACGAGCUGACGACAGCCAUGCAGCACCUGUGUUCCCGUUCCCUUUCGGGCACAGCCGGAUUUCUCCAGCCUCCAGGACAUGUCAAGGGUAGGUAAGGCUUUUCGCGUUGCAUCGAAUUAAUCCACAUAAUCCACCGCUUGUGCGGGUCCCCGUCAAUUCCUUUGAGUUUUAACCUUGCGGCCGUACUCCCCAGGCGGUCAACUUCACGCGUUAGCUUCGUUACCAAGGAAUUACUUCCCCGACAACCAGUUGACAUCGUUUAGGGCGUGGACUAC
RNAcentral lists this unclassified non-coding RNA (379 nucleotides) under uncultured Gammaproteobacteria bacterium. RNAcentral describes it as "contains 16S-23S intergenic spacer region". Lineage: Bacteria; Pseudomonadati; Pseudomonadota; Gammaproteobacteria. The record is from RNAcentral.